AGCAGCCGCGGUAAUUCCAGCUCCAAUAGCGUAUAUUAAAGUUGUUGCAGUUAAAAGCUCGUAGUUGAAUUUCGAGACCGGCUUACUGGUCGUGCUAUUGUGCGUACUGGUAUAAUCGGUUUCUCCUUUCUGACGAACUAUAAUACCAUUAAUUUGGUGUUAUAGGGAAUCAGGACUGUUACUUUGAAAAAUUAGAGUGUUUAAAGCAGGCUCACGCUUGAAUACAUUAGCAUGGAAUAACGGAAUAGGACGUUUGAUUCUAUUUUGUUGGUUUCUAGGAUUGACGUAAUGAUUAAUAGGGAUAGUUGGGGGCAUUAGUAUUCAAUUGUCAGAGGUGAAAUUCUUGGAUUUAUUGAAGACUAACUACUGCGAAAGCAUUUGCCAAGGAUGUUUUCAUUAAUCAAGAACGAAAGUUAGGGGAUCGAAGACGAUCAGAUACCGUCGUAGUCUUAACCAUAAACUAUGCCGACUAGGGAUCGGAUGAUGUAUUUUUUAAUGACUCA
RNAcentral lists this ribosomal RNA (503 nucleotides) under uncultured Glomeraceae. Its description in RNAcentral is "SSU rRNA". It matches the Rfam family "Eukaryotic small subunit ribosomal RNA", at positions 569 to 1078 of the family's 1831-position model. The record is from RNAcentral. Lineage: Eukaryota; Fungi; Glomeromycota; Glomeromycetes; Glomerales; Glomeraceae.